ACGGAGGGUGCAAGCGUUAAUCGGAAUUACUGGGCGUAAAGCGCACGCACGCUGUAGUGUUAGUCAGGGGCGAAAUCCCACGGCUUAACCGUGGAACUGCCUUUGAUACUGCACAACUUGAAUCCGUGAGAGGGUAGCGGAAUUCCAGGUGUAGGAGUGAAAUCCGUAGAUAUCUGGAGGAACAUUAGUGGCGAAGGCAGCCACCUGGACCGGGAUUGACGCUGAGGUGCGAAAGCGUGGGGAGCAAACAG
Molecule: ribosomal RNA, 251 nt
Filed under: uncultured prokaryote
Description: partial 16S rRNA
Rfam family: Bacterial small subunit ribosomal RNA
Source: RNAcentral